GACGAACGCUGGCGGCGUGCUUAACACAUGCAAGUCGAACGCUGAAGCGCAGCGUUUGUUGGGCGGGGGAGUGGCGAACGGGUGAGUAACACGUGAGUGAACUGCCCCCUGCUGUGGGAUAAAGCUCGGAAACGGGUUCUAUAAUUGGACAUUACCUGGUCUUCGCCUGGGGGUUGGUGUGAAGGGGGUUUUUGGUGGGGGAUGGGCUCGCGGUCUAUCAGAUUGUUGGUGGGGUGAUGGCCUACCAAAGCUUUGACGGGUAGCAGGGCUGAGCGGGUGACCGGUCACAUUGGGACGGCCAUACGGCCCCGACUGGUACGGGAGGCAGAAGUGCGGAAUAUGGCGCAAUGGGCGCAAGGCUGAUGCAGCGACGCGGCGUAAGGGAUGGAGUCCUUAGGGUUGUGAAUCUCUCUCGAUCAUGGUUGAGCCGCAACAAUGGUUGUGGUGAGGGUAGUGGGUAAAGAAGCGCCGGCUAACUACGUG
Molecule: ribosomal RNA, 483 nt
Filed under: uncultured bacterium
Lineage: Bacteria
Description: partial 16S ribosomal RNA
Rfam family: Bacterial small subunit ribosomal RNA
Source: RNAcentral